RNA transcript from Helianthus annuus (common sunflower), 2474 nucleotides. RefSeq lists it as uncharacterized. The transcript has 7 exons. Lineage: Eukaryota; Viridiplantae; Streptophyta; Magnoliopsida; Asterales; Asteraceae. The record is from RefSeq and is a predicted model, not a curated record.
UGAGAGAGGGGACUAAUUAUCAAACGAAAAAGAACUGGCACAUAAUAUAUGUGGGGAAUUGGGGUGAUGAGGCCACUGCCAUAUUAUUAUAUAUAUACAAAUGAUGAAAGGCCUUAAGAACAGUUCAAGUUAUCAAGUUUAUCAUGACUGCCAUCUGCCCGUCAUCUUCCCACCUCUGCAAAACUUGUCAUCCACCCUACCACAACACUUCAUCCUUCCACUUUCUACCUUCUCAUCCACCCUCCCAUACCACCUAAUGCUUCGAAUUGCUACCACCGCGUCACCUAAUGCAUCUGUCCCUCACCAGCACUCUUCUACGAGAUAACGCACGCCGGCGAUACAACCACCACCAAAUUCAAGGCUUUCGUCAGGCAAUUAGGGCUCCACCAGAAGGGCAUCAAGCAACCGCGCUAAACACUACUCCACUCUCAAACUUGCCGCCCUCGGCACAACCACAACCAAGUCGAAGGCUUUCAUUAGGCGAUUACGUCUCCAGCAUGUAUGCUUUGACGAUUUAGGUUACUAUUUUCAACUUCGACUGUUCAUUAGGAAGAAAGUUUGGGGAAUUUUUUAAUGAAUGAGUAAUUUUUUUCAACUUUGAAGUCACAUAGGGUAAUGUAAUCUUGAAGAAGACGCUGAAGAUUGAUCGAUCUUAAAUGUAGUCGCCUGUUUUUGCAGCUUUUUUUAAAGCAAAGCGGACCUUCUUUUGGGUUGCGGCUGUUUCACUUUUUCUAAGUAGACCCCUUUUCGGACUACUGUGAUCGACUUAUUUUGUCAAGCAAACUACCCUUAGAGUGUAUUAGAUACAAAACAGCACCCAAAUUCAGCAAUGAUAAACACUAAACAUAACUAAAAGUCAUCAUCAAAUGUCAACGGAUGAUAAAAGUGGUUUGCAUAUUAGUGACAGUUGCACUCAGUAACAUGAGUGUGCUGCUGGUCCUCAUAACAACUAUAAAGAGACCAUUCAAAUCAGGGAUUCAUAUUGUCAAAUUAGUUUCCUUGAACAACCAGGUGCGUUUAAAGACUAUUUUUAAUGGCUAUAUGACCCGUUUAUUCAAACCUCUUUACUUAGAAAAGAAAUUUACUUUACUUUUCUUUAUUGCCAGGAGAUUGAAUAUUUUUUUAUGUUGAAAUGUAGAAGAGAUAUAUUUUGUAUGUUGUGCGAUAAUCAACAUCCCACCACAACGCGCGAGAAGGCGUCAACUUGUGUAACGCAGUUACUAAGCCUCAGCGCUUACAGAUCAACACACUGGCAGCCACCCGAGUGUAAUGAACUCCGUUGCCAUAUGAAGCCAACUUUGGUUGAAUCAACAGAUGCAACCAAAAAGCUUAUUGUCAAAGUGGGAAGCCAACUUUUCAAUAGAUUAUGGGUACUCCUUUUUGGCCACAUUCGUACUUACUUUACACGUGAAUAAUGUGUAUGUUCGUCCAAAGAAACACAAAGUGAAAUUCAUGAACGGCACUCAGGUUGCGUUUCGCCUCAGUUCGAUAGGAUCACACCAGAAUUCCUACCACACUGCCAUGGUACUUCAGUCUCUUAUAUUGUUCAAGCAACAUAAAAAGAACAUGAGCUACUUACCUCUGCUUCUAUUGAAACCCAUAAAGAAACUUAACCGUGAAACAAGAUUGUGAUAACCUUUUGUGAAGACAAGGCGAUGUUGGUUUGGAGAUAACAUUCAGUCCAAAGACAUACUUGCAGUCACUUCAACAUCCAUCUCCGAAUACAAAGGAAUGCUACACCUAGAAAUGACACCGGCAACUACAGUGGCAAUCAAUCAAAGCAUGGAAAGCACACUGUAAUUUUGGUUGUCAUUGUAUAAUAAAAAAAAUCACAAUCAGUUGCUUACGUCUGUACGCCGUGUUUUUAUGCCGCCGGCCCGCCGCAACGCGCGGCGGGUCAAAGUUCUAGUUAUCUUAUUAGGAGAAAGAUGGGGCCAAGCCCACCGAAAGCAUACGGCAGCAACAACAUUAUAUUUGGAUGGCAAUACAUUGGGGAGCCAUAUUAAACUAUCAUGGGCCGAAUCAUUCUGCGGGCCACCAAAAUAUACCAAUCCAGCAGCAUUUACAUGAAAUUGGAAUAUUGGGCCUUUAGACAUAUGGAGGACACGUCAGAAGAAAAAAAAAGGGAGCUGCGCAUAAUAGGGUUUUGCACAUAUAUAAUUAAAUCGAUCAGAGGAGGGCUGCAUCGAAUUCGAAAAAGAAGAUUAGAUGAACGAAGAUAAGCAGGAGCGAAUUGUUUUACAAGAAAUCAAGCUUUGGAAUCAUUAGGGUCAAGGGGGAAGCAUAGAGAUCAAGAAAUUUUACGGGUUCUACCUUACGAUUUCUUUUAUUUUCUAGUUUCUUGUUUUUACUUCGAUGAAUUCUUGUUUGAGAUUUUGUUUGAUUGUUUUUAAGACUAUGAUUCUUGGCUAAACGUUCUUUUAACUACCUAGAUUAUGACAAUAGCUUAAUAAAGUUUGGAUUUUUAUUCGGUU